This 200-nucleotide unclassified non-coding RNA is filed under the name soil metagenome. RNAcentral describes it as "partial contains internal transcribed spacer 2 and large subunit ribosomal RNA". The record is from RNAcentral.
GAGGUCUGCUCCUCUCAAACGAAUCAGCUUGCCGGUGUUUGGCGGCAACCGUGGGUGUGAUAACUAUCUACGCUCGUGGUUUUCCACCAGGUAACCUUCAGCAGUGGAGGUUCACUGGAGCUCACAGACGUCUCUCCUCAGCGAGGACAGCUCUUUGAAUGUUUGAUCUCAAAUCAGGUAGGACUACCCGCUGAACUUAA